CCUACGGGUGGCAGCAGUGGGGAAUAUUGCGCAAUGGGCGAAAGCCUGACGCAGCGACGCCGCGUGAGGGAUGAAGGCCUUCGGAUUGUAAACCUCUGUCAGCAGGGAAGAACGGUCACUGUGCUAAUCAGCAGUGAAUUGACGGUACCAGCAAGGGAAGCACCGCCUAACUCCGUGCCAGCAGCCGCGGUAAUACGGAGGGUGUGAGCGUUAAUCGGAAUUACGGGGCAUGAAGCGCUCGUAGGCGGUGUGUCAAGUCUAGGGUGAAAUCUCCGCGCUCACCGUGGGAACGUCCUUUGAAACUGGCAACCAGGAGGGUGUGAGAGGAUAGUGGAAUGCCAGGUGUAGGGGUGAAAUCGGUAGAUACCGGGAGGAACAUCAGUGGCGAAGGAGACUAUCUGGCACAUAACUGACGCUGAGGAGCGAAAGCGUGGGUAGCAAACAGGAUUAGAUACCCGGGUAGUC
RNAcentral lists this ribosomal RNA (465 nucleotides) under uncultured bacterium. RNAcentral's name for it is "partial 16S ribosomal RNA". It matches the Rfam family "Bacterial small subunit ribosomal RNA", at positions 338 to 795 of the family's 1533-position model. The record is from RNAcentral.